RNAcentral lists this ribosomal RNA (374 nucleotides) under uncultured bacterium. RNAcentral describes it as "bacterial SSU rRNA". It matches the Rfam family "Bacterial small subunit ribosomal RNA", at positions 524 to 898 of the family's 1533-position model. The record is from RNAcentral.
UACGUAGGGUGCGAGCGUUAAUCGGAAUUACUGGGCGUAAAGCGUGCGCAGGCGGUUGUGUAAGACAGUUGUGAAAUCCCCGGGCUCAACCUGGGAAUUGCAUCUGUGACUGCACAGCUAGAGUACGGUAGAGGGGGAUGGAAUUCCGCGUGUAGCAGUGAAAUGCGUAGAUAUGCGGAGGAACACCGAUGGCGAAGGCAAUCCCCUGGACCUGUACUGACGCUCAUGCACGAAAGCGUGGGGAGCAAACAGGAUUAGAUACCCUGGUAGUCCACGCCCUAAACGAUGUCAACUGGUUGUUGGGUGCAUUAGUACUCAGUAACGAAGCUAACGCGUGAAGUUGACCGCCUGGGGAGUACGGCCGCAAGGUUGAA